RNAcentral lists this ribosomal RNA (492 nucleotides) under uncultured bacterium. Its description in RNAcentral is "partial 16S ribosomal RNA". It matches the Rfam family "Bacterial small subunit ribosomal RNA", at positions 29 to 507 of the family's 1533-position model. The record is from RNAcentral.
AGUGAACGCUGGCGGUAGGCCUAACACAUGCAAGUCGAACGGCAGCACAGUAAGAGCUUGCUCUUACGGGUGGCGAGUGGCGGACGGGUGAGGAAUACAUCGGAAUCUACUUUUUCGUGGGGGAUAACGUAGGGAAACUUACGCUAAUACCGCAUACGACCUACGGGUGAAAGUAGGGGAUCUUCGGACCUUGCGCGAUUGAAUGAGCCGAUGUCGGAUUAGCUAGUUGGCGGGGUAAAGGCCCACCAAGGCGACGAUCCGUAGCUGGUCUGAGAGGAUGAUCAGCCACACUGGAACUGAGACACGGUCCAGACUCCUACGGGAGGCAGCAGUGGGGAAUAUUGGACAAUGGGCGCAAGCCUGAUCCAGCCAUACCGCGUGGGUGAAGAAGACCUUCGGGUUGUAAAGCCCUUUUGUUGGGAAAGAAAAGCAGCAGGUUAAUACCCCGCUGUUCUGACGGUACCCAAAGAAUAAGCACCGGCUAACUUCGUG